UGCAGCCCAGCCGUGCCCCCACGCACCCCCUGCUCCUGCGCUUCGCCCCAGCCACAAAGCAGUUAAUAUUUGUUGAUCGCGGCGGCGUGCUCGGCUCUCUGUGCAGCUCUCGGAGGCAGCGCGAUACUCCCUGGUCUCCAGGGAUCUCGUGGCAUUUUGCCCAGAUGGCAUCGGUCUGUGUCUCAAGGACAUAACACAGCGCCUACGGAUCCUUGCAGCAGCGCUGUAGUGACAGAUGAAGCCAGGGCGCUCCUUCGUCUCCGCCGAGAGGGAAGAAAAGCUCCACAAAAUGCCCGGUCUCCAGCCGGCCGCUCCCUUUCGCCUCCACGAAUGAGCCGGUGCCCGGCGGCUGCCCGGGUUGCUUCGCGCAGGGGCAGAGCUGGCUGAGCACGGGGGGGUCCCCUCCCCGCGGAGGAGAGGGCGCUCGGCUCCGUCCCCUUCUGCCAGCACCGCAGGUCAGAGAAGAGUCACCGCCCUUUAAGUGCCAAGAAGAGGCCUUCCACCCUCUGGUGCAAGAAGACUUUGAACAUUUACUCUCUCGCUCUGAUUAUGUAAAAAUCCUAAUUAAAAAGUUAAUGGGGAACUUGAAGACUGGAGAAUCCAGAUGCAUGCCAGGCUGGCAGGGGGCAGAUGGUAGCUGCUGUUGUUGGGAAAAGAUAUUUGGGGAUCAGUGACCAGAAGGCCAUGUUUACCGACCGGUGAAAAUGUAACUGUAAAGAUCCAUCGCUGGCAGCUGCCUGGAAGCAGAGCCCUCGAGUAUUUGUUUCCAUUAUUUCUAAUUUCACAUAUGACUGUAGUGCUUUAGGGACGUUCAAAUACAUACCAGGAAAGCGGUCGCCAGUCUAACCUCAGCGCUACGAGGACACAACACAACGUUUCCCAAAUCCCCAACCUCUCGUCUUGCCGGGGGCAGGCGGGUGCUGCAGGAGGGCUCUCCCCACCAAGCAGCCAUCGCCCUCACCCCUUGCCAGCAUCAAGGCGAGCAGCGAGCAGCGGGGCUGUCCUCCGCGGGCUGCUCUGCUCCCUGCGCUCCCUACGACUGCUGCUCCGCCACCAGGAGAGGGAGAGGUGGGGAGCCACGGGCACUGCUCCCAGGCACUGCCCAUCUCCGCAGGGAUGGGGAAGAGGACGGACAGAUGUCUCCAGCAGGCCCAGCUGGCAAACAUCUGACCGAACAACCUUACACAGCACAUCAAAGUGCUGUGGACGUUAGCCUGGGCGGACGUUAGGCGCUGCCUGUAAACGUGCUGGAGUGCCUCUGCCGUUCUGAGCACACCAGCGGCAGGGUGUGGAGGAAGGCUCGCUGGCAGCACUGGCUGGAUUCCUCCCUGCAUGCAGUACCUGAAGUACUCCUUCACCCACUUGUGAAGACAGUGGCUUCCUAGAGACAGUGAGUCCAUAAGGAAGCGACAUUUCAUAAUUAUGACAUUUCAUAAUGGAUGUGAAAGACUUUUCUACCCUUCAGCUGCUCCCAACCCAGAUGGUUACACACAUCUUUGUAAGUGCAGAGGUGUUACUUUACUGUCCUUUUGCUGGCCGAAACAAGAAGCCUGGAGGUUCAAGCUCUAAUGAACACAAGAGAAAAAGAAGAAAGAAUGAAACAAAAGAAAUGUAGCGAGCAGGACAGAAAGUGACCCAGAU
Molecule: long non-coding RNA, 1641 nt
Organism: Anser brachyrhynchus (Pink-footed goose)
Lineage: Eukaryota; Metazoa; Chordata; Aves; Anseriformes; Anatidae
Source: Ensembl